AUGCUUAAGUUCAAGCAUGCGUGCAGCCCUGGUGAAGUUAACUGUAUCUUGCUGCUCCGCAGGGCCCUGGGGCCUGAGUGUCACACUUUCUCUGCCUUCUUCACUAGUAACAGCAAAGCUUUUGGGCUGAGGACAUGGGAAACUGGGAAAAAAGUACAAAAGCCCAAGUGCAUCUGGCACAGAACAGAGAUGGGUGAGAAGGGGGUGAAUGCAGCUUUCUGCCCUGAGGUGGUAGGAGCUAGUAACCAGUUUGGCACCAGUCCCUGCAUUAUCCCAGUAGCAGACAUGACAGACACAGAAGAGUGAGGGUGAGACUGCCUGGGGUCUGUUCUUGCCUGCUGGAGGUUCCCUUCCAACACAGGGCUCUACUGGAGGGUCAGUCAGGGCACCUUUGGACCUCAGCAUGUAAGGCAGCCAGGAAAAAGCAACGCACAGGGCCAAGAGAACAAUUUCAAAAGGAAGAGAAAGAAGAGUAAGAGGAGUAAUAGCACUCAAGAGAGCUUUCUUCAUUGACCUUAAGAAUGGUCCUGCAAUCAAAAUAGUACCCAAAGUACUACAGAGUACCCAAAUCCCCCUGUCACCAAAGUGACGGGUGCAUGUUAACUGAGAUUUUAAUGUAACAAGAGGAAAACUAAUCUCCAUGGUCAAAGACUUAUAACUGCUCCCUCAUCUUGUUCUUGAUGCAUUGUUUUUCUUGGGUUGGGUAACAGCAAAGGCAUAAGGAUACCAGCAAUCACUGAAUUUGUGCAUAAUAUCACAAAUCACCAUAAAUGGUCUCUUCAGUUUUCUGAGAUGCUCUAAUCCAGUGUUGAUCAUUUCAAGUAAAAACUCCACUUGUUGCAAAAAGUACUGGUAGUUCUUUAAGCCACCUUCCCUAAAGCCAGUUAUUUCAUUUUUCCAGGGUGGAACUGCUGAAUGACCUUUUCUCUGAUAUAUUAAUAUUAGCAAUGGAAAACGAGACACCUUAGGAUGAUUUACACCAAACUUAUUUUUCAAGUGAGCUAUUCUCAUUCUUUCUAAAAUUAAUUAUUAAAGCAAGCACAUCAAGUUCAAGCUGCACAAAUGUGCUAUCAAGAUAUGGGCAUUAAAAUCCUUAUGCCUUGAAUGUUUCCCUUGAGUUUUAUUUCAAAGUCAAAUGAUCAGAGACAUCAUCAUAGACCAAAUUCAGUCUUUGUGUAGGCCAGCAUUAAAUUGCAGCCAUUCCCAUCAGGACUGAAUUGGUGGCAGGCACCUGUUAGAUUACAAAGUCACCAUUUAAAAAAAAAAAAAAAAAGGAAAAGAAAAAACAGACCAGAACUAUUAAACUUAUUACAUGUCAAGUACAUUAAAUAAAAGAGGAUCCUACCAGUUGCA
This 1353-nucleotide long non-coding RNA is filed under the name Calidris pugnax (ruff). RNAcentral describes it as "lncRNA (ENSCPUG00000015292.1)". The record is from RNAcentral. Lineage: Eukaryota; Metazoa; Chordata; Aves; Charadriiformes; Scolopacidae.